UUGAUUAAAGGUCAUAAAUAAAUUUAUCUCAGGCUGGUCCCGCACAAUCAAGGGCUGGCUAAACUAGACACAGAGUUAGACACUAAAGUAGACUAAAACUAAAAGAUAGACACAAAGAAUAGGAAGAGGUUAUCUGUGUACAACAAGAAAAACACAACAGUAGCAAUGAUCAAUGAAGUAAUAAAUUUAUAAGAAGAUACCUUGAAUAACUGAAUUAUCAACAAACCAAGAUCUUGGAUGCUCAUAAAAUUUUAUAAUUUCGAAGAUUUGCUGCGAUUUUUCUCUCAACAGGAUGUGGAAGGGUUAUCAAACACUCAUUCUCACCAUAAAAGUCACUAUCUAACAAAUAAACAGUAAGAAACAAUUAACUAUUCUGUAAAAUGUCAACAUUUCUUCGCAUUUCACUUACCG
Long non-coding RNA from Xenia sp. Carnegie-2017, 411 nucleotides. RefSeq lists it as uncharacterized. The record is from RefSeq and is a predicted model, not a curated record. Lineage: Eukaryota; Metazoa; Cnidaria; Anthozoa; Malacalcyonacea; Xeniidae. The transcript is spliced from 4 exons.